UACGUAGGGGGCUAGCGUUGUCCGGAAUCAUUGGGCGUAAAGAGCUCGUAGGCGGACUGUCACGUCUGCUGUGAAAAGCUAGGGCUUAACCCUGGCCUUGCAGUGGAUACGGGCAGACUAGAGGUAGGUAGGGGAGAAUGGAAUUCCCGGUGUAGCGGUGAAAUGCGCAGAUAUCAGGAGGAACACCGAUGGCGAAGGCAGGUCUCUGGGCCGAUACUGACGCUGAGGAGCGAAAGCGUGGGGAGCGAACAGG
This 253-nucleotide ribosomal RNA is filed under the name uncultured bacterium. RNAcentral's name for it is "partial 16S ribosomal RNA". It matches the Rfam family "Bacterial small subunit ribosomal RNA", at positions 524 to 776 of the family's 1533-position model. The record is from RNAcentral.